This 1407-nucleotide long non-coding RNA is filed under the name Oryctolagus cuniculus (rabbit). RNAcentral's name for it is "lncRNA (ENSOCUG00000036411.1)". Lineage: Eukaryota; Metazoa; Chordata; Mammalia; Lagomorpha; Leporidae. The record is from RNAcentral.
GGGCCAUCUUUCUACUGGCUUUCCCAGGUCAUAGCAGAAAGCUGGAUUCAAAAAAGGAGUUACCCAGGAAUCGAAGCAUCACUCAUUUGGGGUGGUGGCACUGCAGGUGACAGCUUUACCCGCUACACCACAGCACUGGCCCCUAGAGAUGUAAUUAAAAGGGAGAUGAAUGAUUACCAUCUAGUCAAUUGAUUCCUUCCAAAGAAGUUCCAGAAGCCAGAGAUAAAAGAUGUCUCAGAGAUCUGAAACAGCAGAGACUGGCUUGAAGAAGAAAACUGUCUAUAUUGGUUAGCUUUUUGCUACUACAAUUAAAAUACCUGUGAGGAGUUACUUAAUCUCAACCCAAGAAAAGUAGAUAUAAGGUUUCCCAAGAGGACACAAUGAGGUCACUUGUGCCUUGAUUUCUUUUUUUUUAACUUUUAUUUAAUGAAUAUAAAUUUCCAAAGUACAGCUUAUGGAUUACAAUGGCUUCCCCCCCAUAAUGUCCCUCCCACCAGCAAACUGUUGAAAUCUUUAAUUUAUGCUAAACUGAUCUUCUGUAUAUAAAGAGAAUCGAAAAUGAAUCUUGAUGUGAAUGGAAGGGGAGAGGGAGUGGGAAAGGGGAGGGUUGUGCCUUGAUUUCUAAGAGGAUCUUUGGGGAAGGAGUGGGAGAGAAGAAAAAUGUCUCACAGAGACUCUCUCCAUCUAUGUAGUGUGCUAACGAAGUAGGCAGGCAUACAAGUUACAAUCGAUUAGGUUUAUGAGCUGGAAGACCACGCCUUUGCCACACCCCUAUGUGACCUCAUGGCCUACCUGAUACCUUCACCAUGCCCCUGUGUGAGCUCACACCCUACCUGGCCACACCUGGGUGCCCACCAGCCAAUCAGGUUAAUUAGCCACUCCCCUUUGGAAAUGGGAUAAAAGCCUGGGACAUGGUGUGUCCCAGCCCUUUUCUGCUUCCCUGGCCUCUUGCCAGGAGGGGGCUUGCUAUAGCCCUGCACCUCCAAGGCGUGUGGCUUUUGGGCCACCCACCCUAGGCUUCCUAGUCUAGAUGCUCCUCCACGUGGCUGGUUCCUGGUGCUCACUAAAGGGUUAUUAGUCUUAAUAUAUAAAGAAGUUCAACAAAUUGAUACAAGAAGUACAAUAGCACCUGUAGAGAAAUGGCAUAAAAAGAUUCCACUAAAAAAGUUACAAAUGCCCAAUAAGACAAUGUACUGCAAGGUGUUCAAAUUAAGACAACAUUUCUAACUCUUCAAAAAAUAAUUAAAAACAAGUUGUUCAAUUUUCCCAAAGGACAAACUGCAGAUUUUUCAAUAUUCAACCUACUUUUCAAAAGUGUCUCAAGCAAUUAAGUAAUAGAAAGAAAUUCAAGGCAAGAAUAUUGAAAAGGAAGGAAAAUAAAACUAUCUCUAUUCAUAGAUGAUGUCA